GCCCUUAGAGUUUGAUCCUGGCUCAGGACGAACGCUGGCGGCGUGCUUAACACAUGCAAGUCGAGCGGAAAGGCCCUUCGGGGUACUCGAGCGGCGAACGGGUGAGUAACACGUGAGCAACCUGCCCCAGGCUUUGGGAUAACCCCGGGAAACCGGGGCUAAUACCAAAUAUUACCUCUGAUCGCAUGGUUGGUGGUGGAAAGUUUUUCGGCUUGGGAUGGGCUCGCGGCCUAUCAGCUUGUUGGUGGGGUGAUGGCCUACCAAGGCGACGACGGGUAGCCGGCCUGAGAGGGCGACCGGCCACACUGGGACUGAGACACGGCCCAGACUCCUACGGGAGGCAGCAGUGGGGAAUAUUGCACAAUGGGCGGAAGCCUGAUGCAGCGACGCCGCGUGAGGGAUGACGGCCUUCGGGUUGUAAACCUCUUUCAGCAGGGACGAAGCGUAAGUGACGGUACCUGCAGAAGAAGCGCCGGCCAACUACGUGCCAGCAGCCGCGGUAAGACGUAGGGCGCGAGCGUUGUCCGGAUUUAUUGGGCGUAAAGAGCCUCGUAGGCGGCUUGUCGCGUUCGACCGUUGAAAAACCUGGGGCUCAACUCCAGGCCCUGCGGUCGAUACCGGGCAGGCU
Molecule: ribosomal RNA, 628 nt
Filed under: uncultured Actinomycetes bacterium
Lineage: Bacteria; Bacillati; Actinomycetota; Actinomycetes
Description: bacterial SSU rRNA
Rfam family: Bacterial small subunit ribosomal RNA
Source: RNAcentral